Molecule: non-coding RNA, 106 nt
Organism: Ricinus communis (castor bean)
Lineage: Eukaryota; Viridiplantae; Streptophyta; Magnoliopsida; Malpighiales; Euphorbiaceae
Source: Rfam
AGAUCGUGGUGUGGACAGCAUCUCAAUAAGUCCUUGUACUUGCCCCAGGCGUUGUGAUGCUCUCAUCGUUCAUAUGCACAAAAGAAGAAAUGUCAUUUCUCAAUUU